This 496-nucleotide ribosomal RNA is filed under the name uncultured bacterium. RNAcentral describes it as "partial 16S ribosomal RNA". It matches the Rfam family "Bacterial small subunit ribosomal RNA", at positions 30 to 523 of the family's 1533-position model. The record is from RNAcentral.
AUUGAACGCUGGCGGACUGCUUUACACAUGCAAGUCGAACGGUAGAGGGGGCAGCCCCUCGAGAGUGGCGAACGGGUGAGUAAUAUAUCGGAACGUGCCCAGUCGAGGGGGAUAACGCAGCGAACGUUAAGCUAAUAAUGCAUACGAACUAAGGAUGAAAGCGGGGGAUAGCAAGACCUCGCGCGAUUGGAGCGGCAGAUAUCAGAUUAGGUAGUUGGUGGGGUAAAGGAUCACCAAGCCAACGAUCUGUAGCCGAGCUGAGAGUACGACCAGACACACUGGAACUGAGACACGGUCCAGACUCCGACGGGAGGCACCAGUGGGGAAGUUGGGACAAUGGACGCAAGUCUGAUCCAGCCAUUCCGCGUGCAGGAUGAAGGCCCUCGGGUUGUAAACUGCUUUUGUACGGAACGAAAAGGUCUCUCUUAAUACGGGGGACUCAUGACGGUACCGUAAGAAUAAGCACCGGCUAACUACGUGCCAGCAGCCGCCGUAA